ACAAAAUAAACAACGUUUUUAUAACUCUCUUUGUUUCUUCUUCCACUUCCAUUCCAUCAUCAUUAUUUUAACCACAACAAACUACCAACAACCGUUCUUUCCUCUGUCUUUUCCAUACUUUGCCGUUUCUCGAAAAAACAAGACCAAAUUUCUGGGUAUUGUGUCCUUAAAGUUUUGUCUUGUGACCAUUCAGUACGUAACUUUUGACGCUGGAGAACAAAAAUAA
Molecule: non-coding RNA, 226 nt
Organism: Vicia faba (fava bean)
Lineage: Eukaryota; Viridiplantae; Streptophyta; Magnoliopsida; Fabales; Fabaceae
Source: the annotation of a GenBank genome assembly